RNAcentral lists this ribosomal RNA (271 nucleotides) under uncultured bacterium. RNAcentral's name for it is "partial 16S ribosomal RNA". It matches the Rfam family "Bacterial small subunit ribosomal RNA", at positions 524 to 794 of the family's 1533-position model. The record is from RNAcentral.
UACGUAGGGUGCGAGCGUUAAUCGGAAUUACUGGGCGUAAAGCGUGCGCAGGCGGUUUUGUAAGCCAGAUGUGAAAUCCCCGGGCUCAACCUGGGAAUGGCAUUUGGGACUGCAAGGCUGGAGUGUGGCAGAGGGGACUAGAAUUCCUGGUGUAGCAGUGAAAUGCGUAGAUAUCAGGAGGAAUACCGAUGGCGAAGGCAGGUCCCUGGGUUAACACUGACGCUCAUGCACGAAAGCGUGGGGAGCAAACAGGAUUAGAAACCCCGGUAGU